GACGAACGCUGGCGGCGUGCUUAACACAUGCAAGUCGAACGGUGAAGCGCCUUCCUUUUUGGUGGGUGUGGAUGAGUGGCGAACGAGUGAGUAACACGUGAGUAACCUGCCCCCUUCUUCUGGAUAACCGCAUGAAAGUGUGGCUAAUACGGGAUAUUCUGGGUCUGUCGCAUGAUGGGUCUGGGAAAGAUAUUGUUUCGGUGGGGGAUGGGCUCGCGGCCUAUCAGCUUGUUGGUGGGGUGAUGGCCUACCAAGGCGGUGACGGGUAGCCGGCCUGAGAGGGUGGACGGUCACACUGGGACUGAGACACGGCCCAGACUCCUACGGGAGGCAGCAGUGGGGAAUAUUGCACAAUGGGCGCAAGCCUGAUGCAGCGACGCCGCGGGAGGGAUGGAGGCCUUCGGGUUGUGAACCUCUUUCGCCAGUGAAGCAGGCCUGCCUCGUUUGUGGGUGGGUUGACGGUAGCUGGAUAAGAAGCGCCGGCUAACUACGUG
Molecule: ribosomal RNA, 494 nt
Filed under: uncultured bacterium
Lineage: Bacteria
Description: partial 16S ribosomal RNA
Rfam family: Bacterial small subunit ribosomal RNA
Source: RNAcentral